GUGGGCUCACUCUUGCAAACAGCCUGACUUCCCUCAUCCUUCCAGUUUUUUCAGUCGUGGGGCAAAUGUGCCAAGCCUAAAUGAACUCAACCACCCGUCACUCUUUCCUCUGACUUCAACUGGGCAGAUGAGCUCCCUUAGAAUAAAUCACACAAGACAGUCCCAACCGUGUUAUGGGCUAUGAUGCUACAGGAGCACAUAACUGACCUAACCUUGUCUCAGGGUAGGAUCAAGGACUUUGAAAAUUAUUUUUGAAAUAAUUUUUAUUUUCAGAAGAAACAAUGACAUUGUCAACUGAGAGAUGAGUUGGGAAGUAGGUGAAGAGAAGCAGUGAAAUGAGAAUGUACCAAUAAAUGUGCAAAGGAUCUGCAAAAUACUGGGGUAUGUAUUUGAUUAUCAGGAAUGGGAACCAUGUAGUAGAUGGAGAAGAAUAAAAAGAUACUCAGGAAACAGGUGAAAAACACAUGAGCCUCUGCUGUCAAGAGGGAUUAAAUUAGGUCAGACUUGGAAACAAUGCAGCUGCUAUAAAAUCUACGACAAGUGUUAAGUCACAGUUUGGGAAGGGUCUAGGCUUGGGCCCUAUUUAAAAGCUAAUAAGGUAACCUGUUACUGUUUCAUGGCAGCGCACAUGAGGUUCCUGGGUCGAAGACUAGAGAAUUUCAUUACUUGUGGCCAGAGCAUCCUGUUUGAUGGCUCUCCAAGCCUCCACAGUCCCCCUGGGUGACCGAGGUGGACAUAAAUGGAGUUUGCACAUAAACUGGGUGGUGGUACAGGAAAGGAGUACUAAGUUUGGGGGGUUCAUUCUUUUUACAAUAAGUGGAAGCAAGCCUGCUACUUGGGGAAGACAUUACCUCAGCUCUGAAGAUUGAUCACUCUAAGCAGUCAGUACCUUGUGUUCUUUGCAUACUUAGUAAGAAUUUGCAGGGACACUCAGGGAUCAUGGCCAAUCGCUGCCAGCAGUAUGCUAAGUUCAUGGGAUGGGGGUUGGAGGAGGAUAGCUAAAUUCUCAUACAAAGUUUGAAGAAAGGUGAUGUUGAAGCUGUGUUUCCAUAAGAGGAGUAACUGUUCAUCGAGCCA
Long non-coding RNA from Bos taurus (domestic cattle), 1077 nucleotides. The record is from Ensembl. Lineage: Eukaryota; Metazoa; Chordata; Mammalia; Artiodactyla; Bovidae.